Non-coding RNA from Acanthosepion pharaonis, 90 nucleotides. NCBI's taxonomy places the organism in Eukaryota, Metazoa, Mollusca, Cephalopoda, Sepiida, Sepiidae. The record is from the annotation of a GenBank genome assembly.
UACGGCCAUAUCACGUUGAAACACCGGUUCCGAUACGAUCACCGAAGUUAAGCAACGUUGAGCCUGGUCAGUACAUUGGUGGGUAAACUU